RNAcentral lists this ribosomal RNA (577 nucleotides) under uncultured bacterium. RNAcentral describes it as "bacterial SSU rRNA". It matches the Rfam family "Bacterial small subunit ribosomal RNA", at positions 338 to 916 of the family's 1533-position model. The record is from RNAcentral.
CCUACGGGAGGCAGCAGUAGGGAAUAUUGGACAAUGGGUGCGAGCCUGAUCCAGCCAUGCCGCGUGCAGGAAGACGGCCUUCUGGGUUGUAAACUGCUUUUGCCAGGGGAUAAAAAGUCCCUGCGGGGAAAAUUGAAGGUACCUGGUGAAUAAGCCACGGCUAACUACGUGCCAGCAGCCGCGGUAAUACGUAGGUGGCAAGCGUUGUCCGGAUUUAUUGGGUUUAAAGGGUGCGUAGGUUGUUUUGUAAGUCAGUGGUGAAAUCCGGCAGCUCAACUGUCGAUGUGCCAUUGAUACUGCAGAACUUGAGUACAGACGAGGUAGGCGGAAUUGACGGUGUAGCGGUGAAAUGCUUAGAUAUCGUCAAGAACACCGAUAGCGAAGGCAGCUUACUAGACUGUAACUGACACUGAUGCACGAAAGUGUGGGGAUCAAACAGGAUUAGAUACCCUGGUAGUCCACACUGUAAACGAUGAUUACUCGAUGUUGGCGAUACACAGCCAGCGUCUUAGCGAAAGCGAUAAGUAAUCCACCUGGGGAGUACGCCCGCAAGGGUGAAAACUCAAGGAAUUGACGG